Molecule: long non-coding RNA, 4410 nt
Organism: Candoia aspera
Lineage: Eukaryota; Metazoa; Chordata; Lepidosauria; Squamata; Candoiidae
Exons: 2
Source: RefSeq, a predicted model, not a curated record
GAUGUCAAUGUAUAGAUUUCCUCUUUUCAGCUUUGCAAAAUCUUUUUCUGGGAAUUCGUUAGGAACGAGAAGGUAUUAAAGCCCUUUGCGGUUGUAGUGUAUCAUAAAGUAUCUAAGGAGAAAUGUGAUGGACAGUUCAAGUUUUGCCUCAGGGCUACUUGCAUUCACCCAUACCCUGUCACAGUAUAGGGCCUGCUAUCUGGGACAGUGCCCUCCACAUGGGGGUUGCAGGCAUUGCUACAAUUAUGCUAACCUCUCAUGAUUUGUCUUCCCUAUGGUAGUAAAAAUCAGCUUAACAGCUUCAUUUUACACUGCACAAUCGGGUAAUUAAUCGUAACAAGGCUCAAGGACCAGUUAUGGCUGGGUAAGCCAUGGAUUAUCCCCACGAAGGUGAUCAACUGGAUCUGGGACUUUCCCACUCCCUGCACUGUGAAGCAAAGUCAAUCGUUUGGGGGAUCUCUUGGGAUAUUGGCACUGAACCUUUCACAGGUACUCUGGCUGCUUUCUCAACAGGGAAAAAGAAAUGUGGGAUUGUGGCAAAGAGAAGGCACACACUCCAGCUUUUGGUAGGGCAAGUGCGCGCUCCCUGUAUCUGAGCGUGAAGUUUUCCCCAUUGAAUCAAGCUCCUCCUGGGGACUGUGGCAACAGGCUGAUGCCCAAGCUAGGUGACCCACCAGCUUCUGGCACAAGACUGGAAAACAGCCCAAGCUAGUUACAAACAUCAUCAAACAUUUUUUAGGUCUCUUAAGCAGCAAAUCCACCUCCUGCCUGGUCACACAUUAUUGAAGGGGUGGAGACCACUAUUGGAUCAAGCCAUCCUGAGGCUCAAUCAAUGAUUUAUCUGCUCUCACCCAAUCUAUGCCCAACAUCAGAAUCUUCCCCUCAGGAGAGAAGGUUUGCACACUCCACGUGUGGAAGCUAGAACCUGAUGCUUUCCUGCCGGUGGCUACAACCGAGGAAGCUGCAGGAGCAGACCUGUGAGCGCCUGGCAACAUCAGUGUAAAACUGGGACAGAUAACAGGUGCCCCUGAGAUUAAGGGUACAAAUGCCCCCUGGCAUUUAUGGACAAAUACAACUGAUAAGAGACUUGGCGCUACUGAGCACAGAUGUAUGAGUAUGUGUCUGUACUAGACCCUGGCUACCAAGGAGAAAUCAGAGUGCUCCUCCAUCUAGACCCAGAAAGACCUGAAGUGAGCCUCACAGUAGGAGAAAAAGUGGCACAACUGAUCCUGCACAAAAUCACCUCCCCUCACGUGAUAGAAGGGGAACCUCCUGCACAGGGUAAAGGGAAGGGGGAGAGACGAUUUGGGGCCAUGGGAGCCAAAGUGUGGGUGAAGGGAGGCACGGGGCGAAUGAAAGCAGGCCUAGUAUUGUGCCCUGCUGGGCAAAAUAAUUCACAUCUCCUGAUAGACGAGGAAGAUUCCCCUACAAUAGUGGCUAAUGAUUGUCUUUUUGUUCAGUAGACUUCAAUAAGAACCCACGUGGGGACUGCAGACACCUGGGGUUUUUUUUUCCAAGCUCUUGAAUUACGGCGCCAAGCUGUUUAAGGAUGAGGGGAGCAGAUGCUUGUGCCAGCCAGAAAUGCUUGCCUGAAUACCUGUGCCUCUGCCUUCUACUGACCAUUGCAUAUACUGACAGUGCCUACCUGCAUUUCAACUACCAGAUUGCCAUUGCUGAACAGCAGUAUAACGGUUGGAUUUGCACGUCUAUAACCGCAGCCCAAGGCGGUGUUUGUGCUCUGCUGAAGCAGGAGUGCUGUGCGUACAUCCCUGAUCUAGCUGCUUUGUUAAAUAAAAGUAUCCAUGCCCUCUACAAGCAGACUGACAUAGUAACCAAUAGAAGAUCAUUCCCUAUUACAACCUUUAGCAGAAUAGUUUAAUGGUAUGGGAGGAUGGUGGAAAAAAUAGGUAUUGAUACCUAUGCUUCUGAUUAUUAGUGUGCUUUUACCUAUUAUGCGCUUUUAUUGCUGGUGUGCCAUGUGUCUACAGUGCAUACAAUGGGCAAGAAAGGUCUUGACAAACCUCCUCAAGUGAAACUCAGGGUAAUCUACGGAAGACUGGGCGUGCAGACUGUAAGAGAUAGCUUGUAGGGGUAGAUUGUCCUGUACCUGACUGCCUAACUUGUAUUUUUUACCUUUCCCCUUUUCUCCCUUUGCAGAAUUUCCCCCCUUGCAGAGUGGAGAUUGCCUAAACAAGCUAUCUCUUCCCAAACAGCUUUUCUUUGCAGCAGCACUUCCCUAAAAGGUGCUAGCCACCAGUUAACUAAUUAGCACCCUCCUCUGCUUGCCCUUGCACCUCUCUGAAAUUGACAAAGACCCUAAUCAGUUUCACCCUGAAGGCUUUCUUGUGUUACUUGAAGUGGCUCAGGGCUUGCAGCAGCCAGCAUGCUAAGCAGACAGCCCGAGGUAUUCCUUUCAGUGUGUAUUCCCCCCAUUGUAUACUUGCUUGCUUUCUUGUAAUCUUCCUCUUCAAUGAAUGUAAAUACAAACAUUAAUUUCCCCUUGCUAAUUAUCCCAGAACCGAGGUGAGGAUCCCAAAGGGUGGGGGAGUGGGGAAAAAGGGCUAUAAAAGCUACCCCUUUUCCCCAGCUUCCUUGUGAAUGAAUAUGAACCUUCCCCACCAUUAGGGCUCACCUGGAUGUUUGGGGUUGUGUCCUCCUGACGCUUUAUGGAUGAUUUCUUAAUAAACCUUUUUUGAGAUUUAUCAUUGUCUUUGGCAUCUCUCUGUGUGUUCUCCUUUUUUUGGUAUCCAUCCUGCAAAUUCUAAAUUAAGUAUCACCAUGCAGAAUAAUGGAAACAACAUUCAUAGGAUUUUGCAUAAACAAGCCAUUAAAUAAAAAGCAACAAUAAUGACUUGUAACUGGAAAAGCAGAGAUGCUAGAGGUCUUUAAAUAGUGCCUUGAUCAAAAGGAUAGCUCCUGGGCUUAAUAAAGUAAUGAAAUACAUUUUUUAAAAGGUGUGUUUAAUUAUGAACAAGCAGAUUAGAACAAUGUGUUUGCAAAAUUAAGGUUUAAUUCUGUUGCAUCUGGCCAUAGGUUUUCUGUUUCUCUAUCAAAACAACCUGCAGUACAAGAUAACAGUGCAAAACCAUAUUGCUCCAUAAUAAUUAUGGAGGAAAAAAUACUAAAAUGCAAAUAAUUCUGUUUCAUAUGAGGAACUGUCAUCAGAUCAGGGAAAGCUGUUCUUGAUGGACUGCCACAUUUGCAUUGUCAGAUUCAUAUGAUUCCUGUUGUAGUGACUGGUUUUGUUUUGCUUUUCUGCAGAUCCCAUCCCAAAACUCUGUUAUUGCAUACAGCUGGAUUAACAUCGAUAGAAGUAUUUUGAAGUUUGGGACCCUGGUCAGCACAUCAAACACUUACGAUGAAACUGGGAUAGUGACCGUUGAAACUGACAAGCCUUUGCUUUGGACAAUGGGAAUUAAAGAUAAAGGGAGUGCUUGAAAGAUUGUCUCUCUACAUAGUCCAACUUGAAAUGUAAGGUGAAAUUUUCUGCUCUCUCAACCACCAGCCAAAUGAGAAUUUUAUAUUGCAAUUACAGUAUUUCAUUAUGCUUUUAUAAAAAAAUCAACAUUUUAUAUGGUUGUUUUUUAAAAAAUGCAGCUUCAGUCUAUUGAAUGCCACAGAUUUUAUGAUGUUUUUCUUUUUGGAGCAAAUCUGUAUUUAAAAGCUUUUGUUUUAAAGCCUGAAAGUGGAUGCAUUUUCAGAUAACUCUGCCUGUAACCAGUGAAUAGAGAUGUUGCUUUAUUUUAACUCACGUAAGAUUGGUAAUCAGAAAUGGGUAUGAUGUACAACAUUCCAUGCUCUAUUCUAUCUGCUGCUUCUAUGCCUCAAACUCUUUAGCAAAAUGGAAACUUUGCUACUGGUUUGGAAUAAGCAGUGCCUCCUAUUAGCUACUGGCUAAUAAAUAGCCACACACUGAAUGCAUGUAAAAUUAGUCUAGAGGAUGCAGUGCAAACCAGAUAUUGUAAGGGGACAUGCACACACACACACACACAUACAGCCACCUGCAGCUCUCCAUACACAUCUGUGCAUAAGCAAAGAGCCUGCCUUCACUCACUCUUUCCCCCCUCUGCUCUAUUAGGGACCAUCUUUCUCUUUAUGUGUGUUUGUAUGUAUAGUGUCUAAUACGUGUAUUUUAUCUCCUGAUCCCGUGGUAGCUGAGAGCUAAACUUAAGUCUCAUGUAUGUCUCUGCCAAUAAAAUUAAACCAGAAUGAAUUUUACAUUGUAAGCAAUUUUAAUUAUACUUUACCUUGGCUCUACUCUGCAUUAACCACAAUAACAAAUACUGAGCUAAAGCAAUUCCUCAAACUUGCCAAAGUUUAAUGGAUCAGUUGUUUUGGAAAGUGAUGUCAACAAAUACCACAUUGCAAAUUAGCCCUACGCUUGCCUUAAUAAAGAUAUAAUUUAAAAUA